UUCCCCAUUCCCUCCCACCUGUCCAGCGCCGACUCCAUCACCAUGGACUGACUCCCUCGCAGUCGAGAUCCGCCCCGUCGACGUCUAGCAGCCCAGCUCGACCUCCAGCCACUCCAGCUCCCUGGUGCGCCAAAAAGGUGGCAGCUCGUAGCCUCGUACAUUGCUUUCAGUAUGGGUGUAGAAUCUCUAGCAGAUAGUUCACUAGUAUAACAACAAUGGUCAUUGUUUAGUAUUUGGCACUUCUGUUUAGGUUAAAACAAUGUUAUUUUUUUGUUCUUUUGCAAAGAUUAGAGUGCAGCAGCCCUAUAGAUUGUGAUUAAUUACUAUAUGAUUCAGUUCUAAAUAUUUUGUUUUAUGAUCCCAGUGCAAAGGAAUUCAUAUUUUAGUUUACAUCUGUCUAUGUAGUGUGUUGUGAAGGCCAAGUUUGAGAAGUGGUGGUGUCGCAGAGCAAUCCUCUCCCUUGACAGGUACAAUGUCCACUCUUCCACAUGUCUUAGUUUUUUUAAUGCAAUUGCUUCAUUGCCAUAUUACAUCAUUAACUGUUAUAUAUUCCAAAUCGUGCAAAACUUCAAUAGGGCAAACCUUAUGUGAUGAUACAGGUUGUUAGUUGCUACUAGAAAGUGUUGAGAGAUAUUAAAGCGGUGUAACAAUUGCUGUCGGGUUUAGCAACUGAUAUCUUCUUCAUCUCCUUUUGCACUGCUUACAUGUAAGGUAUUGUAGUUUAGGUGCUUCUUUCACCAGCUGCAAAACAAUGUAGCUGGUGCUUGAUGCAUGUGUUAAUGCAUGCAUAAUGCUAGUAAGCUCCUGUUAUGGGUCUCAAGCAUGAAUGUACCCCAAGAUUUCUAUUGGAACUGGACAUGUGUUAAUGCAAUUAGGUGCUUCUUUCACCAGCUGCAAAACAAUGCAAUUUCAUAAGUUUUCACCAGCUGCAAAACAUCAUAAAAAUACCAUUAGGUACUUCCGUAAACACAAAAAUAGAAACAAUGCAAGACAUGGCUUGUCUCUGAUCCUCUGUUUUCUUUUUUCAUUGGUUGCAUUUUGAUCCUAAAUGUCAAUCAAU
This is a non-coding RNA of Aegilops tauschii subsp. strangulata, 1060 nucleotides long. The record is from RefSeq and is a predicted model, not a curated record. Lineage: Eukaryota; Viridiplantae; Streptophyta; Magnoliopsida; Poales; Poaceae.